This 227-nucleotide long non-coding RNA is filed under the name Homo sapiens (human). RNAcentral's name for it is "non-protein coding lnc-SMAD4-7:1". The record is from RNAcentral. Lineage: Eukaryota; Metazoa; Chordata; Mammalia; Primates; Hominidae.
GGAAUAUGAAGAAUAUAAAUGAUUACAUAUGUGAUUUAGAAACACAAAAACUUUGGCAUGAAGUAGACAAUAAACUAGAGGAGAAAACAGAGAUAGGUUUUGGCAUUGGAUUUUUUUAAAUAAGUAUAUGCUUUUCCCUACAAGAUUUUAUUGGGAGUUGAGGCAUUCAUCCACACUUCUGUGGGUUGAUGACUCUCCUGUUGAUAUGCUUACCCAGAAUUUCACUC